This 253-nucleotide ribosomal RNA is filed under the name uncultured bacterium. Its description in RNAcentral is "partial 16S ribosomal RNA". It matches the Rfam family "Bacterial small subunit ribosomal RNA", at positions 524 to 776 of the family's 1533-position model. The record is from RNAcentral.
UACGUAGGGUCCGAGCGUUGUCCGGAGUUACUGGGCGUAAAGGGCGCGCAGGCGGCGGUGCUGGCCCGGCGUGAAAGCCCCCGGCUCAACCGGGGAGGGUCGUCGGGGACCGCACCGCUUGAGGGCGGUAGGGGCUGGUGGAAUGCCUGGUGUAGUGGUGAAAUGCGCAGAUAUCAGGAGGAACACCGAUGGCGAAGGCAGGUCUCUGGGCAUUAACUGACGCUGAGGAGCGAAAGCAUGGGGAGCGAACAGG